UGCUCCCGGCUCCUGCGACUAGGCUCCCUUCCUGACGGUUUAUGGUAUAUGAACUUUCUACCAAGCCUGAAGAUCCGAGAUUGAUUCCCAUAGCACCACACAGUGGAAAGGGGUAACAAACGGUCCUCUGACCUCCACAUGUGCACUGUGACACAAACACAUAUGUAAUACACAAAUGGAAACUGAAAUUUAAAAAGAAGAAGAAGAAGAUUGCUCAUGGCUCUUGCUGCAGACAGUGAUUCCACGCAUCCAACGUCUCUUCUGAAGAUCUGUUCUCUUGUGGAUCUGCGCUCAGGGCCAAACUUAAUCAGUCACGGUCUGUGCAACUAUUACGCCAUCAUUCGACUUUUGAAAGGUUUUCCAUCCAUACAAUGAGGCUUGUGCAAAGCUGCAUAAUGAGAAAGUCCUUUAGCCGUACGCUGACCACACACAAUAAUUAUCAGUUCUCAUAGCCAAGGGCAGGACAAGGCUAAUGAUACACUACUUU
Non-coding RNA from Myodes glareolus (Bank vole), 487 nucleotides. The record is from RefSeq and is a predicted model, not a curated record. NCBI's taxonomy places the organism in Eukaryota, Metazoa, Chordata, Mammalia, Rodentia, Cricetidae.